RNAcentral lists this long non-coding RNA (4926 nucleotides) under Phaseolus vulgaris (common bean). RNAcentral describes it as "long non-coding RNA (PVUL_LNC003280)". Lineage: Eukaryota; Viridiplantae; Streptophyta; Magnoliopsida; Fabales; Fabaceae. The record is from RNAcentral.
AUCAAACUUGGUGCCAAAAAAGCUUUGGUAAUCAACAACUGGGAAACGGCAAAGGAAUGCUUCACAACAAACGACAUCGUCGUUUCCUCUCGCCCCAAGCUUGUUGCCGCAGAACACAUGAGCUACAACAAAGCCAUGUUUGCCUUAGCACCCUGUGGUCCCUAUUGGCAAAAAAUAAGAAAGAUUACAGUCUCAGAGAUUCUCUCCCCUCAGCGAGUGAAGCAACUACGUCAUGUUUUUGAGUCAGAAGUUGAAGAAUCGAUCAAGGAGCUCUCUAACUUUUGGUGCAGCAACAAGAAUGAGAGCGGUUAUGCCUUGGUGGAGUUGAAGCAAUGGUUUUCUCAUCUGAUAUUCAACAUGGUCCUUCAAAUGAUUACAGGGAAGCGAUAUUUUAGUGCAGCAACUGUGGAUGAUGAGAAGGCACAGAGAUUUGUGAGGGCUGUGGAGGAGUUCAUGCGCCUGUUCGGGGUGUUCACAGUGGGAGAUGCUGUUCCAUGGUUGAGAUGGUUUGAUUUUGGAGGGCAUGAGAAGGCAAUGAAAGAAACUGCAAAAGAGUUGGAUAUUAUUCUUGGUGAGGAGUUAGAGGAACACAGAAAAAGGAAGGGUUUGGGUGAGAAGGAUGAUGAAGUUCAAGAUUUCAUGGAUGUGAUGAUUUCAUUGUUUGAUGGAAUAACUAUUGAUGGGUUCGAUGCAGAUACCGUCAUCAAAUCCACUGUACUGGUAUGGAUCUUUAUUGCAUCUUAUUUUUUUUAUUAAAUCACAUUAUAACUUUAAAUUUUAUUGUACAAAAAUUAAGGUAUUAAAACCAAAACCAUUUAUGAAUUUGAGAAAGAUAAACAAAUAAUAUUAAAUAUUAAAUAACCAAAAUGUUGUGAAGAUGUUAUGAAUUAGGGAUUUAGUGUAAUUUUUUCUUGUAUCUCUAUCACUUUCUUCUUAGAUUUCAUACUUUGAAAAAUACUCAAAUUAUCUUUUAAUAUUUUUUAUUAAAUAUUUUUUCUUUAAUUUCGGAAUAUGCACGUUAACUUCCUGAUUUAUAAAAUUUAGAAGUUAAAAUUUGUGUUUGGGAUUUUACAAUAUUUCUGAUUGUACAAUUCAAAAUUUCAGAUUGUAUAAUUCAAAAUACAAUUUUUUAUAUCAAAUUAUAGAAUUUAAAAUGAAUAAUUUUAGAAUUUUUUACGAAUAUAAGACUGCAAGAUAAAUUAUGAGAUGAAGAAAUAAACUUUUAAAUUUUUAAAAAUGAGGAUUAUGGGGAUAGAUCACCUGUCUCACACUUGGCUUAUGCGGGUUAGGCGAAAUGAUUUAAAUUCUAAAUUUGGUAGCAAAAACUUUGUAGCUAAUUAGAUACAAAUUUAGAAAAUAUUUAACAAUAAUAGAAACUAAUUUAGAAACCAAAAAUUUGUUUAGUCUCUAAAAUGGUCUCUAAUUUAGUCAAUAUAGUAAUUAAUUAUUUUUUGUCUAUAAAAUUAGUUUCUAUUUAAUGAUUUUCUUGUACUGAUGAUUUGUUUAUGUUAUAGAAGAACUUGUGAAUAAGAUCAUAUCCUUAUUUUGUAGUUAGUGAUUGCAGGAGGAACUGACACAAGUAGUACUCUUCUUACGUGGGUAAUAUCUUUGAUUUUGAGAAAUCCUUUGGUAUUGGAAAAAGUAAAAGUUGAACUAGACAUUCAUGUUGGAAAAGAGAAAUGUGUAAGUGAGUCUCAUAUAAGCAAGUUAACAUAUCUUCAAGCCAUAGUCAAGGAAACAUUAAGAUUGUAUCCUCCUGGUCCUCUUUUGGCACCUCAUGAAAUUAUAGAGGACUGCAUUUUAAGUGGUUAUAAUAUAAAAAAAGGAACUCGUCUAAUCACAAAUCUUUGGAAGAUUCACACAGACAAGAAUGUUUGGGAAGAUCCAUUGGAGUUCAAACCUGAAAGGUUUCUUACAACUUACAAAGAUCUCGAUGUCAAAGGUCAUCAUUUUGAGCUAAUACCAUUUGGAGGUGGUAGAAGAAUGUGUCCAGGAAUAUCCUUUGGCCUUGAAGUAGUGCAAUUCUCUCUUGCUAGUAUUUUGCACUCUUUUGAAUUUUUAAGUUCAUCACCUGAUCCUAUUGACAUGACCGAAACCUUUGGAUUAACCAACACCAAAGGCACUCCACUUGAGAUUCUUAUUAAACCACGUCUAUCUUUUAGUUGUAACGAAAACAACUAAUCCAUGUGCUAGCUAUGCUGUCACAAUUUGUUUUCAUUUAAAGUACUUUUUUUCUAUAAUAUUGUUCAAAGUCUUUGUUAUCUUUGUAUUUUCAUUCAAAGUGCUUGAUAUAUUUGUACUUUCCUUCAAAGUACUUGAUAUAUUUAUAGUUUAUCUUGGUAAACUUUGAAACUCUUUCAAAUAUAUAUUAUUUUUAGUAGACUUUCUUUAUUGAGUCAGGUUAGAGAGUUGGACCGUAUUUAGAGAUUCAUUGCUUAAUUCUUAAUCGCGGAUUGAAGUGAUUAAUCCUAUUUGAACGUAAUUGUAUUUAUGUUGUCGAUCAGUUCAUUAAUGUGGAUUACGAUCUCGAUCGGUCACUGAUAAGUCUCGAGAGAUUACAUUAGUCGAUACAAUUAAUGAAUUGCUUAAUUGGUUAACCGUGACUGAUGAAGGUGUGCAAUAAUUGGAAACCAGAGGCAAAAUACAGAGUGCACUAAUUAGCUUAGCAAAUAAUAAGAAAGUGAUGCAUAACAGUUUCACAUAGAAAGAGUUUUGCAAAUCCUUCAACGGGUGGGUGCCAUUUUUACAUGCACCACAUCUCUUUUUUCAGGUAAGUCACGUACUACUUUAAUAUUUAUGUACCCUUUGAUUAAAUGCCUCAUUGGUCAAUGAGCUUACGAUUAUAACACAUCAUUUUCUUAUGCUUUCAUAUUAUAUUAAUAUUCAAAUGACCUACACUGCAAAAUGAUGUGUUAGUAUAACGUGUUUUAAUUUUAAUUAUAUCUCUAUACUUUUUUUCUAUUAGUUUUAAAAGUCUUCUCUUGAUUUGUGCGUCUUAUCUUUAGUCGGGGAUUCUUUGCAUUUUUCCAAUUUUCUCAUAUGUACCACGAGGAACAAAGUCUUGUUUUUUGAAUUUUCUUAGCAGUAAUAGAAUGAAAAUUUUGACUUAUAUGUAAAAAUAUUAUUCAGUAUUACUGGAGCAAUUUUGUCCCAUUCACUACUUUAUUGUUGAGUGGUUCAAUAUUUGUGGCUGAAGACAUCAUAUAUAUAAUAUAUGCGAACCUUAUAUUAUUUUAAUUUAUUUCUUUUACAUGAACUUGGACUUUAUUGAUUCUGGUCUAAAUUAUACACCUUAACCUACCCACAUUCACAAUUCACUUAUGAACAUCUUUUUUCUUAAAUAUCAAUUAACCUUGGAAGAUAUAUACAACAAAUAUCAAGCUAUUAAGGUCAAUAUCUUGUGUUCAUAACACAAUAUUUUUUUCUCAACAAAUCCUUAAAAUAUAUCCUUAACUAUUUUUAAUUAAAUAUUUUAAAACAUAUAUUUUUUAAUUGUUUUUUAUCGUUUAAUUUUUUAUUAAUUAAGUGACAUGAUUAUUAUUUUUCUUACCAUCUUGCGGUUAAUAUAAAAUAAAACAAUAUUAUAGUUAAUGUAAAACAAUAAGCUUAACUAACUUUAUUUUUUCAUAAAAGAAUUAUUAGAUAACGAGUUUAUCAUGUUUUUUUAGUUGUAAUUUUCAUGUCAUCAUAUACCAUAAAAAAAAGAUCAUCACCAUUGAUAUAAAUAGCAAUUAUCAAACACUUUUUCAAUGAAAAUAAUAAAAAUCACUUUUCAAUUUACAUUAAUCACAAUUUAGUUUUAUAUUAAACACAAAACAUCACAUUUUUAAUAUGUGGAAACAAGUAGCAGAGUAAUGGAAUAAAAUAAAAGUAAUGUAAACCACACAAAAUUAAACAAAAAAAAAAAUUCAAUUUUUUUUUUAAUACUAUUUAAUAAAAAUAACCUAGACCUUGAACCCUAAAUUCAUAGUAUUUUGAUUUUUAAAAAAAAUAAAUUUUGUCUUAUUUUUAAAAAAAAAUAUACAAUUUGAUCUGUUUUAUUAAAUUAACAUAAAGAGGAGGAAGUGGUGACAUGAUGUGACAAAGUUAUAAACGCACGUAUAAAAAUGUUAUAAAGUAUGAUUUAAAUUAGUAAUUACAAUUCACUGCAUAAUAAUUUAAAUUUUAAUAUUUUGAAACUUAACCUUAUAUAUUUUAAAUAUUUUUUAUGGCAGCAAACUUUGAAAAUAGUUAUUAAUUAUUAUUAUUAGUGGUAGUUAUAUCUUAUAAAAAUUACAACACAAUUUCCAAGUAAAAUCAUACUUAGUCUUUGAAAAGUUUGACUUUUCCUUCUCUCUGAAGGAAUGAAGGAUCUAUUUAACCACUCCUACUUUACCCUACCUGAAACACACAGAGCCUCAACUCGCUCAAAUGGAUUUGGUUGUAAAUUCCUUGAAUGCAACCACCAUUGCACUCGCUUCUCUAAUUCUCUUCUGUUUCUUUCUCUAUGGUCUCUUCAAAUUUUCUCGAGGGAAAGAACCUCCCACAGUUGCAGGUGCAUGGCCAAUACUUGGUCACCUUCCAUUGAUGAGUGGUUCAAAGUCACCCCACAGAACUUUGGGUGCUUUGGCCGACAAAUAUGGACCCAUUUUCACCAUCAAACUUGGUGCGAAAAGGGCUGUGGUAAUCAACAACUGGGAAAUAGCAAAGGAAUGCUUCACCACAAACGACACAGUCGUUUUCGGUCGCCCCAAGCUUGUUUCGGUGGAACUCAUGAGCUACAACCAAGCCAUGUUUGCCUUAGCACCCUAUGGUCCCUAUUGGCGAAAAAUAAGAAAGCUUACAAUUUCAGAGAUUCUCUCCCCUCAGCAAGUGAGGCAGCAACGUCAUCUUUUUGAGUCAGAGGUUCAAGAAUCGAUCAAGGAGCUCUUUGACCUUUGGCGCAGC